This 497-nucleotide ribosomal RNA is filed under the name uncultured bacterium. RNAcentral's name for it is "partial 16S ribosomal RNA". It matches the Rfam family "Bacterial small subunit ribosomal RNA", at positions 28 to 507 of the family's 1533-position model. The record is from RNAcentral.
GAUGAACGCUGGCGGCGUGCCUAAUACAUGCAAGUCGAGCGAACAGAUAAGGAGCUUGCUCCUUUGACGUUAGCGGCGGACGGGUGAGUAACACGUGGGUAACCUACCUAUAAGACCGGGAUAACUUCGGGAAACCGGAGCUAAUACCGGAUAACAUUUGGAACCGCAUGGUUCUAAAGUGAAAGAUGGUUUUGCUAUCACUUAUAGAUGGACCCGCGCCGUAUUAGCUAGUUGGUAAGGUAACGGCUUACCAAGGCGACGAUACGUAGCCGACCUGAGAGGGUGAUCGGCCACACUGGAACUGAGACACGGUCCAGACUCCUACGGGAGGCAGCAGUAGGGAAUCUUCCGCAAUGGGCGAAAGCCUGACGGAGCAACGCCGCGUGAGUGAUGAAGGGUUUCGGCUCGUAAAACUCUGUUAUUAGGGAAGAACAAACGUGUAAGUAACUGUGCACGUCUUGACGGUACCUAAUCAGAAAGCCACGGCUAACUACGUG